Molecule: ribosomal RNA, 407 nt
Filed under: uncultured bacterium
Lineage: Bacteria
Description: partial 16S ribosomal RNA
Rfam family: Bacterial small subunit ribosomal RNA
Source: RNAcentral
AUUGAACGCUGGCGGCAGGCCUAACACAUGCAAGUCGAGCGGAGCGGCGGACGGGUGAGUAAUGCCUAGGAAUCUGCCUGGUAGUGGGGGAUAACGUCCGGAAACGGGCGCUGCUCCCGCACACUUUCAGAUGAGCCUAGUUCGGAUUAGCUAGUUGGUGGGGUAAAGGCCUACCAAGGCGACGAUCCGUAACUGGUCUGAGAGGAUGAUCAGUCACACUGGAACUGAGACACGGUCCAGACUCCUACGGGAGGCAGCAGUGGGGAAUUUUGGACAAUGGGGGAAACCCUGAUCCAGCCAUCCCGCGUGUGCGAUGAAGGCCUUCGGGUUGUAAAGCACUUUUGGCAGGAAAGCGGUACCUGCAGAAUAAGCACCGGCUAACUACGUGCCAGCCGCCGCGGUAAUUC